RNAcentral lists this ribosomal RNA (265 nucleotides) under uncultured bacterium. RNAcentral describes it as "partial 16S ribosomal RNA". It matches the Rfam family "Bacterial small subunit ribosomal RNA", at positions 793 to 1055 of the family's 1533-position model. The record is from RNAcentral.
GUCCACGCCGUAAACGAUGAGAACUAGAUGUCGGGAGGGAUUAGCCUCUCGGUGUCGUAGCUAACGCGCUAAGUUCUCCGCCUUGGGAGUACGGCCUCAAGGUUGAAACUCAAAGGAAUUGACGGGGACCCCGCACAAGCGGUGGAGCAUGUGGUUUAAUUCGAUGCAACGCGAAGAACCUUACCUGGUCUUGACAUCCUCGGAACCCUGCAGCGAUGUGGGGGUGCCUUCGGGAGCCGAGAGACAGGUGCUGCAUGGCUGUCGU